CCUACGGGUGGCAGCAGUGAGGAAUAUUGGUCAAUGGGCGAGAGCCUGAACCAGCCAAGUCGCGUGAGGGAAGACGGUCCUAUGGAUUGUAAACUUCUUUUGCCGGGGAGCAAAAAGCGGUACGCGUACCCCAUCGAGAGUACCCUGAGAAAAAGCAUCGGCUAACUCCGUGCCAGCAGCCGCGGUAAUACGGAGGGUCCGGGCGUUAUCCGGAUUUAGUGGGUUUAAAGGGAGCGUAGGCCGGAUGUCAAGCGUGCUGUGAAAGGUUCGGGCUCAACCCUGGACUUGCAGUUGGAACUGGCGGGCUUGAGUACGGGGGAGGCAGGCGGAAUUCGUGGUGUAGCGGUGAAAUGCUUAGAUAGGACGAAGAACCCCGAUUGCGAAGGCAGCUUGCUGCAGCGGAACUGACGCUGAUGCUCGAAAGCGUGGGUAUCGAACAGGAUUAGAUACCCCGGUAGUC
This 460-nucleotide ribosomal RNA is filed under the name uncultured bacterium. RNAcentral's name for it is "partial 16S ribosomal RNA". It matches the Rfam family "Bacterial small subunit ribosomal RNA", at positions 338 to 795 of the family's 1533-position model. The record is from RNAcentral.